Molecule: unclassified non-coding RNA, 236 nt
Filed under: uncultured fungus
Lineage: Eukaryota; Fungi
Description: partial contains 5.8S ribosomal RNA, internal transcribed spacer 2, and large subunit ribosomal RNA
Rfam family: 5.8S ribosomal RNA (bases 1-52)
Source: RNAcentral
AACGCACCUUGCGCCCUCUGGUAUUCCGGAGGGCAUGCCUGUUUGAGUGUCAUGUAGACUCAAUCCUCGGGGUUUCCCGGGAUUGGACCUGGGCGUUGCCUCUGGCUCGCCUUAAAUGCCUUAGCUGUGGAGUGUCAGUGGACGUAAUAAGUUUCGUCCGCAAAGCACGACUGUGGCUCACAACCCCAUCUUUUGACUUAGACCUCAGAUCAGGUAGGACUACCCGCUGAACUUAA